AACGAACGCUGGCGGCAGGCCUAACACAUGCAAGUCGAGCGCCCCGCAAGGGGAGCGGCGGACGGGUGAGUAACGCGUGGGAACGUACCCUUUGCUACGGAAUAGCCUCGGGAAACUGGGAGUAAUACCGUAUGUGCCCUUCGGGGGAAAGAUUUAUCGGCAAAGGAUCGGCCCGCGUUGGAUUAGGUAGUUGGUGGGGUAGUGGCCUACCAAGCCGACGAUCCAUAGCUGGUUUGAGAGGAUGAUCAGCCACACUGGGACUGAGACACGGCCCAGACUCCUACGGGAGGCAGCAGUGGGGAAUCUUAGACAAUGGGCGCAAGCCUGAUCUAGCCAUGCCGCGUGAGCGAUGAAGGCCUUAGGGUUGUAAAGCUCUUCAGUGGGGAAGAUAAUGACUGUACCCACAGAAGAAGCCCCGGCUAACUCCGUG
RNAcentral lists this ribosomal RNA (430 nucleotides) under uncultured bacterium. Its description in RNAcentral is "bacterial SSU rRNA". It matches the Rfam family "Bacterial small subunit ribosomal RNA", at positions 29 to 507 of the family's 1533-position model. The record is from RNAcentral.